This 253-nucleotide ribosomal RNA is filed under the name uncultured bacterium. RNAcentral describes it as "partial 16S ribosomal RNA". It matches the Rfam family "Bacterial small subunit ribosomal RNA", at positions 524 to 776 of the family's 1533-position model. The record is from RNAcentral.
UACAGAGGUCCCAAGCGUUGUUCGGAUUCACUGGGCGUAAAGGGUGCGUAGGUGGUGAGGUAAGUCGGAUGUGAAAUCUCCAAGCUCAACUUGGAAACUGCAUUGGAAACUACCUUGCUAGAGGAUUUGAGGGGGGAUUGGAAUACUUGGUGUAGCAGUGAAAUGCGUAGAGAUCCGGAGGAACACCAGUGGCGAAGGCGACACGCUGGGCCGUACCUGACACUGAUGCGCGACAGCAUGGGGAGCAAACAGG